This 354-nucleotide ribosomal RNA is filed under the name Photobacterium phosphoreum. RNAcentral describes it as "bacterial SSU rRNA". It matches the Rfam family "Bacterial small subunit ribosomal RNA", at positions 1 to 334 of the family's 1533-position model. The record is from RNAcentral. Lineage: Bacteria; Pseudomonadati; Pseudomonadota; Gammaproteobacteria; Vibrionales; Vibrionaceae.
UUAAUUGAAGAGUUUGAUCAUGGCUCAGAUUGAACGCUGGCGGCAGGCCUAACACAUGCAAGUCGAGCGGUAACAGAAAGAAAGCUUGCUUUCUUUGCUGACGAGCGGCGGACGGGUGAGUAAUGCCUGGGAAUAUACCCUGAUGUGGGGGAUAACUAUUGGAAACGAUAGCUAAUACCGCAUAAUCUCUUGUCUUUUACGAGAUCGGAGCAAAGAGGGGGACCUUCGGGCCUCUCGCGUCAGGAUUAGCCCAGGUGGGAUUAGCUAGUUGGUGGGGUAAUGGCUCACCAAGGCGACGAUCCCUAGCUGGUCUGAGAGGAUGAUCAGCCACACUGGAACUGAGACACGGUCCAG